RNAcentral lists this ribosomal RNA (800 nucleotides) under uncultured bacterium. RNAcentral's name for it is "bacterial SSU rRNA". It matches the Rfam family "Bacterial small subunit ribosomal RNA", at positions 8 to 788 of the family's 1533-position model. The record is from RNAcentral.
AGAGUUUGAUCCUGGCUCAGGAUGAAUGCUGGCGGCGUGCCUAAUACAUGCAAGUCGAGCGAAUGGAUUAAGAGCUUGCUCUUAUGAAGUUAGCGGCGGACGGGUGAGUAACACGUGGGUAACCUGCCCAUAAGACUGGGAUAACUCCGGGAAACCGGGGCUAAUACCGGAUAACAUUUUGAACUGCAUGGUUCGAAAUUGAAAGGCGGCUUCGGCUGUCACUUAUGGAUGGACCCGCGUCGCAUUAGCUAGUUGGUGAGGUAAUGGCUCACCAAGGCAACGAUGCGUAGCCGACCUGAGAGGGUGAUCGGCCACACUGGGACUGAGACACGGCCCAGACUCCUACGGGAGGCAGCAGUAGGGAAUCUUCCGCAAUGGACGAAAGUCUGACGGAGCAACGCCGCGUGAGUGAUGAAGGCUUUCGGGUCGUAAAACUCUGUUGUUAGGGAAGAACAAGUGCUAGUUGAAUAAGCUGGCACCUUGACGGUACCUAACCAGAAAGCCACGGCUAACUACGUGCCAGCAGCCGCGGUAAUACGUAGGUGGCAAGCGUUAUCCGGAAUUAUUGGGCGUAAAGCGCGCGCAGGUGGUUUCUUAAGUCUGAUGUGAAAGCCCACGGCUCAACCGUGGAGGGUCAUUGGAAACUGGGAGACUUGAGUGCAGAAGAGGAAAGUGGAAUUCCAUGUGUAGCGGUGAAAUGCGUAGAGAUAUGGAGGAACACCAGUGGCGAAGGCGACUUUCUGGUCUGUAACUGACACUGAGGCGCGAAAGCGUGGGGAGCAAACAGGAUUAGAUACCCU